GGUCAGUGAUAUGAUGGUGUGUAUUCACUGAAUCCAAAGUUGAGAUGAGUUGUAAAAUUACACUGAGACUGG
Small nucleolar RNA from Cynocephalus volans (Philippine flying lemur), 72 nucleotides. RefSeq annotates it as small nucleolar RNA SNORD45. The transcript has a single exon. Lineage: Eukaryota; Metazoa; Chordata; Mammalia; Dermoptera; Cynocephalidae. The record is from RefSeq and is a predicted model, not a curated record.